AACGAACGCUGGCGGCAGGCUUAACACAUGCAAGUCGAGCGCCCCGCAAGGGGAGCGGCAGACGGGUGAGUAACGCGUGGGAAUCUACCCAUCUCUACGGAACAACUCCGGGAAACUGGAGCUAAUACCGUAUACGUCCUAAGGGAGAAAGAUUUAUCGGAGAUGGAUGAGCCCGCGUUGGAUUAGCUAGUUGGUGGGGUAAUGGCCUACCAAGGCGACGAUCCAUAGCUGGUCUGAGAGGAUGAUCAGCCACACUGGGACUGAGACACGGCCCAGACUCCUACGGGAGGCAGCAGUGGGAAUAUUGGACAAUGGGCGCAAGCCUGAUCCAGCCAUGCCGCGUGAGUGAUGAAGGCCCUAGGGUUGGUAAAGCUCUUUCAACGGUGAAGAUAAUGACGGUAACCGUAGAAGAAGCCCGGCUAACUCGUGCCAGCAGCCGCGGUAAU
This 446-nucleotide ribosomal RNA is filed under the name uncultured bacterium. RNAcentral describes it as "bacterial SSU rRNA". It matches the Rfam family "Bacterial small subunit ribosomal RNA", at positions 29 to 524 of the family's 1533-position model. The record is from RNAcentral.